CUAUACUGCAGUCGAGGGGUAAUUCCGCUUUCGGGCGGGAACGACCGGCGCACGGGUGCGUAACGCGUAUGCAACCUACCCACAACAGGGGGAUAGCCCGGAGAAAUCCGGAUUAAUACCCCAUAAUGCAGGGGUAUCGCAUGGUACUAUUUGUUAAAGAUUUAUCGGUUGUGGAUGGGCAUGCGUCUGAUUAGUUAGUUGGUGAGGUAACGGCUCACCAAGGCGGCGAUCAGUAGGGGGUCUGAGAGGAUGAUCCCCCACACUGGUACUGAGAUACGGACCAGACUCCUACGGGAGGCAGCAGUAGGGAAUAUUGGUCAAUGGGCGGAAGCCUGAACCAGCCAUGCCGCGUGCAGGAUGACGGCCUUCUGGGUUGUAAACUGCUUUUAUACAGGAAGAAAACGGUCAUGCGUGACAGAUUGACGGUACUAUAUGAAUAAGCACCGGCUAACUCCGUGCCAGCAGCCGCGGUAAUACGGAGGGUGCAAGCGUUGUCCGGAUUUAUUGGGUUUAAAGGGUGCGUAGGCGGAUUAUUAAGUCAGUGGUGAAAGUUUGCGGCUCAACCGUAAAAGUGCCAUUGAAACUGGUAGUCUUGAGUACAGUAGAGGUAGGCGGAAUUUAUGGUGUAGCGGUGAAAUGCAUAGAUACCAUAAAGAACACCGAUAGCGAAGGCAGCUUACUAUGCUGUAACUGACGCUGAGGCACGAAAGCGUGGGGAGCCUAUACUGCACUAUACUGCACUAUACUGCACUAUACUGCAUGA
RNAcentral lists this ribosomal RNA (763 nucleotides) under uncultured Pseudomonadota bacterium. RNAcentral's name for it is "bacterial SSU rRNA". It matches the Rfam family "Bacterial small subunit ribosomal RNA", at positions 49 to 812 of the family's 1533-position model. Lineage: Bacteria; Pseudomonadati; Pseudomonadota. The record is from RNAcentral.